ACGCUCGACACCUACGGGAAGCAGCAGUGGGGAAUAUUGCACAAUGGGGGAAACCCUGAUGCAGCGACGCCGCGUGAGCGAAGAAGUAUUUCGGUAUGUAAAGCUCUAUCAGCAGGGAAGAAGAAAGACGGUACCUGACUAAGAAGCCCCGGCUAACUACGUGCCAACAGCCGCGGUAAUCUGAGCGGGCUGGCAAGGC
RNAcentral lists this ribosomal RNA (199 nucleotides) under uncultured bacterium. Its description in RNAcentral is "partial 16S ribosomal RNA". It matches the Rfam family "Bacterial small subunit ribosomal RNA", at positions 326 to 539 of the family's 1533-position model. The record is from RNAcentral.